GGGGGGCGGGGCCGGCGCGACCGGCGGGGCGGGGCGGACACUCCCACCGCGCACCUGCUUCUGCCUGACGUGUACCCGGAAGGUCGUCAGCUCAGGCUCCAAAUAUGUAACAGUGAGUUUCUAAGUGAGUCACACGGACGCGGUUGGUUUCCAGUGAGGCAUAACUCAUCGCUUCACUCUUCUCAACGGUUCCCUCUUCGGAAGGAAGCGCAGUCCGCAGCGUCGUCCGAGGGCGUGAUCGCCUGCGUCGCACCCGCGUCUCCAGUGGCCACCCCUUGUCCUACAGGAACGCGCAUCUGCUUAGCAGGCGCUGAGCCCUUGAGGAGGCCUAAAAUGAAUGAACGCGGCUGUGCCUCCUGAGCAGGCUCACAGUUGUGGGUGGGGGACAGAAGGGUGUCCAUGCCUAAGGUCGACGGCGAUAAGACAGACGUUCUUCCCAGGAGGAGAUCAGUUCCAGGUGGAGAGGUAUGAAGAACGAGGAACACUGCCCGGGGAGUUUCUUCCUCUGCAAAAUAAGGGAGUGUGUACUGAAUUACCGUUUCCAGCUCCAACAUCCAGGAUUUCAGCACUACCUGCAGAGUAGUGGGAGGAGAGAUAGAGGAAGAAGUGAAGAUAAGAAACCACUCGAAGCCGGUGUCUGGUGCUGGGACCGUGGUGGCUGGGACGGCAGCAGUCGUGCUGUCCAUCUGCUCUUCCGAGGGGUGGCACAUCCUAGCCUCUAUCUUUUCCCCAGAGAAGAUCCCCCUCGUCUGCUCUUCCCCCGUCUCAGCCUUUUAGUGUGUGAACAGUUCUGGUGUUACUCAGCAACGCUUUUGUUAGCGCCUUUACCAGCAAGUACUUGUUAAACACUUAAAUCUUACAAGUGGAAAGAAAAUUCCGUGGUAAAUUUAAGUACAAAAGUCAACCAAAAUUCUGAGUCUCGGACAAGACUGGUUAAAAAUCGUUCUACAAUGAAACUAAUAAAUUAAAUCAUAUAAAACUUUUA
This 985-nucleotide long non-coding RNA is filed under the name Homo sapiens (human). RNAcentral's name for it is "HSALNT0338047". Lineage: Eukaryota; Metazoa; Chordata; Mammalia; Primates; Hominidae. The record is from RNAcentral.